UACAGAGGUCUCAAGCGUUGUUCGGAUUCAUUGGGCGUAAAGGGUGCGUAGGCGGCGCGGUAAGUCGGGUGUGAAAUCUCGGAGCUUAACUCCGAAACUGCAUUCGAUACUGCUGUGCUUGAGGACUGGAGAGGAGACUGGAAUUCAUGGUGUAGCAGUGAAAUGCGUAGAGAUCAUGAGGAAGACCAGUGGCGAAGGCGGGUCUCUGGACAGUUCCUGACACUGAGACACGAAGGCCAGGGGAGCAAACGGG
RNAcentral lists this ribosomal RNA (253 nucleotides) under uncultured bacterium. Its description in RNAcentral is "partial 16S ribosomal RNA". It matches the Rfam family "Bacterial small subunit ribosomal RNA", at positions 524 to 776 of the family's 1533-position model. The record is from RNAcentral.